AUUGAACGCUGGCGGCAGGCCUAACACAUGCAAGUCGAACGAGUGGCGGACGGGUGAGUAAUGUCUGGGAAACUGCCUGAUUGAGGGGGAUAACUACUGGAAACGGUGGCUAAUACCGCAUACCAUCAGAUGUGCCCAGAUGGGAUUAGCUAGUUGGUGGGGUAACGGCUCACCAAGGCGACGAUCCCUAGCUGGUCUGAGAGGAUGAUCAGCCACACUGGGACUGAGACACGGUCCAGACUCCUACGGGAGGCAGCAGUGGGGAAUAUUGCACAAUGGGCGCAAGCCUGAUGCAGCCAUGCCGCGUGUAUGAAGAAGGCCUUAGGGUUGUAAAGUACUUUCAGCGGGGAGGCGUUACCCGCAGAAGAAGCACCGGCUAACUCCGUGCCAGCAGCCGCGGUAAUUC
RNAcentral lists this ribosomal RNA (406 nucleotides) under uncultured bacterium. Its description in RNAcentral is "partial 16S ribosomal RNA". It matches the Rfam family "Bacterial small subunit ribosomal RNA", at positions 30 to 526 of the family's 1533-position model. The record is from RNAcentral.